AUUGAACGCUGGCGGCAUGCCUUACACAUGCAAGUCGAACGGCAGCACGGGAGCUUGCUCCUGGUGGCGAGUGGCGAACGGGUGAGUAAUAUAUCGGAACGUGCCCUAGAGUGGGGGAUAACUAGUCGAAAGAUUAGCUAAUACCGCAUACGAUCUAUGGAUGAAAGUGGGGGAUCGCAAGACCUCAUGCUCGUGGAGCGGCCGAUAUCUGAUUAGCUAGUUGGUGGGGUAAAAGCUCACCAAGGCGACGAUCAGUAGCUGGUCUGAGAGGACGACCAGCCACACUGGAACUGAGACACGGUCCAGACUCCUACGGGAGGCAGCAGUGGGGAAUUUUGGACAAUGGGCGCAAGCCUGAUCCAGCAAUGCCGCGUGAGUGAAGAAGGCCUUCGGGUUGUAAAGCUCUUUUGUCAGGGAAGAAACGGGUGAGGUUAAUACCUUUGCCUAAUGACGGUACCUGAAGAAUAAGCACCGGCUAACUUCGUGC
This 487-nucleotide ribosomal RNA is filed under the name uncultured bacterium. RNAcentral describes it as "bacterial SSU rRNA". It matches the Rfam family "Bacterial small subunit ribosomal RNA", at positions 30 to 508 of the family's 1533-position model. The record is from RNAcentral.